GGGAUUUGGCAUGGGGGCAACCCUGNUCCAGCAAUGCCGCGUGAGUGAUGAAGGCCUUAGGGUUGUAAAGCUCUUUCGGCGGGGACGAUGAUGACGGUACCCGCAGAAGAAGCCCCGGCUAACUUCGUGCCAGCAGCCGCGGUAAUACGAAGGGGGCGAGCGUUGUUCGGAUUUACUGGGCGUAAAGGGCNCNGCAGGCGGUCUUGAAAGUCAGGCGUGAAAGCCCCGGGCUUAACCUGGGAAUUGCNCNUUGAUACUCUGAGACUAGAGUACGGGAGAGGAGAGUGGAAUUCCCAGUGUAGAGGUGAAAUUCGUAGAUAUUGGGAAGAACACCAGUGGCGAAGGCGGCUCUCUGGACCGUAACUGACGCUGAGGCGCGAAAGCGUGGGGAGCAAACAGGAUUAGAUACCCUGGUAGUCCACGCCGUAAACGAUGUGCGCUAGACGUUGGAAGGCUUAGCCUUUCGGUGUCGAAGCUAACGCGGUAAGCGCACCGCCUGGGGAGUACGGCCGCAAGGUUAAAACUCAAAGGAAUUGACGGA
This 541-nucleotide ribosomal RNA is filed under the name uncultured bacterium. Its description in RNAcentral is "bacterial SSU rRNA". It matches the Rfam family "Bacterial small subunit ribosomal RNA", at positions 358 to 917 of the family's 1533-position model. The record is from RNAcentral.